UGCAGUCGACGGUGAACUCCGCUUGCGGGGGGAUCAGUGGCGAACGGGUGAGUAACACGUGGGCAACCUGCCCUCAGCUCUGGGAUAACUCCAAGAAAUUGGGGCUAAUACCGGAUAUGACCGCUGACCGCAUGGUCUGGUGGUGGAAAGAUUUAUCGGCUGGGGAUGGGCCCGCGGCCUAUCAGCUUGUUGGUGGGGUAGUGGCCUACCAAGGCGACGACGGGUAGCCGGCCUGAGAGGGUGACCGGCCACACUGGGACUGAGACACGGCCCAGACUCCUACGGGAGGCAGCAGUGGGGAAUAUUGCGCAAUGGGCGAAAGCCUGACGCAGCGACGCCGCGUGGGGGAUGACGGCCUUCGGGUUGUAAACCUCUUUCAGCAGGGACGAAGCGAAAGUGACGGUACCUGCAGAAGAAGCACCGGCCAACUACGUGCCAGC
RNAcentral lists this ribosomal RNA (440 nucleotides) under uncultured bacterium. RNAcentral's name for it is "bacterial SSU rRNA". It matches the Rfam family "Bacterial small subunit ribosomal RNA", at positions 56 to 512 of the family's 1533-position model. The record is from RNAcentral.